AGAUUGAACGCUAGCGGGAUGCUUUACACAUGCAAGUCGAACGGCAGCGCGGACUUCGGUCUGGCGGCGAGUGGCGAACGGGUGAGUAAUGUAUCGGAACGUACCCAGUAGCGGGGGAUAACUACGCGAAAGCGUGGCUAAUACCGCAUACGCCCUUUGGGGGAAAGCGGGGGACCUUCGGGCCUCGCACUAUUGGAGCGGCCGAUAUCGGAUUAGCUAGUUGGUGAGGUAAAGGCUCACCAAGGCGACGAUCCGUAGCUGGUUUGAGAGGACGACCAGCCACACUGGGACUGAGACACGGCCCAGACUCCUACGGGAGGCAGCAGUGGGGAAUUUUGGACAAUGGGGGCAACCCUGAUCCAGCCAUCCCGCGUGUGCGAUGAAGGCCUUCGGGUUGUAAAGCACUUUUGGCAGGGAAGAAAAGGUGCCGGCGAAUACCCGGCGCCGCUGACGGUACCUGCAGAAUAAGCACCGGCUAACUACGUGCCAGCAGCCGCGGUAAUACGUAGGGUGCAAGCGUUAAUCGGAAUUACUGGGCGUAAAGCGUGCGCAGGCGGCUCGGAAAGAAAGAUGUGAAAUCCCAGGGCUUAACCUUGGAAUGGCAUUUUUAACUCCCGAGCUAGAGUAUGUCAGAGGGGGGUAGAAUUCCACGUGUAGCAGUGAAAUGCGUAGAGAUGUGGAGGAAUACCGAUGGCGAAGGCAGCCCCCU
RNAcentral lists this ribosomal RNA (709 nucleotides) under Caenimicrobium sp. RNAcentral describes it as "bacterial SSU rRNA". It matches the Rfam family "Bacterial small subunit ribosomal RNA", at positions 26 to 730 of the family's 1533-position model. The record is from RNAcentral. Lineage: Bacteria; Pseudomonadati; Pseudomonadota; Betaproteobacteria; Burkholderiales; Alcaligenaceae.